GCGCACAGAAGCCUGGUCCUUGGGUGACGAGUGGCGGACGGGUGAGUAAUGUCUGGGGAUCUGCCCGAUAGAGGGGGAUAACCACUGGAAACGGUGGCUAAUACCGCAUAACGUCGCAAGACCAAAGAGGGGGACCUUCGGGCCUCUCACUAUCGGAUGAACCCAGAUGGGAUUAGCUAGUAGGCGGGGUAAUGGCCCACCUAGGCGACGAUCCCUAGCUGGUCUGAGAGGAUGACCAGCCACACUGGAACUGAGACACGGUCCACG
This 267-nucleotide ribosomal RNA is filed under the name uncultured Pantoea sp. RNAcentral describes it as "partial 16S ribosomal RNA". It matches the Rfam family "Bacterial small subunit ribosomal RNA", at positions 64 to 335 of the family's 1533-position model. Lineage: Bacteria; Pseudomonadati; Pseudomonadota; Gammaproteobacteria; Enterobacterales; Erwiniaceae. The record is from RNAcentral.